Molecule: ribosomal RNA, 466 nt
Filed under: uncultured bacterium
Lineage: Bacteria
Description: partial 16S ribosomal RNA
Rfam family: Bacterial small subunit ribosomal RNA
Source: RNAcentral
GAUGAACGCUGGCGGCGUGCUUAACACAUGCAAGUCGAACGAUGAAGCCCAGCUUUCUUGGUGGGGUAGUGUCGAACGGGUGAGUAACACGUGAGUAACCUGCCCUUGACUCUGGGGUAAGCCUGUGGAACUGGGUCUAAUACCGGAUAGAAGAGUCCACGGCAUGGUGGGUUUUGUAAAGAUUUAUCGGUUUUGGCUGGACUCGGGGCCUAUCAGCAUGUUGGUGAGGUAGUGGCUCACCAAGGCGACGACGGGUAGCCAGACUGAGACUGUGACACGGCCCAGACGGCUACGGGAGGCAGCAGUAGGGAAUCGGGGGCAAUGGACGGGAGUCUGACCGAGAAACGCCGCGUGAGUGAAGAAGGUCGUCGGAUCGGAGAUCUCUGUUGUAAGGUUGGAACGAGCGUGAGGGUGGAAAGUACAGACUGUGACGGUACCUGAACAGAAAGCGACGGCUAACUACGUG